UGAGCCAAGUUUGGUCCGCUUAACGGACUAUCAGACUUUAAACUGAAGAGUUUGAUCAUGGCUCAGAUUGAACGCUGGCGGCAGGCCUAACACAUGCAAGUCGAGCGGAAACGAUCCUAGCUUGCUAGGAGGCGUCGAGCGGCGGACGGGUGAGUAAUGCAUAGGAAUCUGCCCGGUAGUGGGGGAUAACCUGGGGAAACCCAGGCUAAUACCGCAUACGCCCUACGGGGG
Molecule: ribosomal RNA, 231 nt
Filed under: Halomonas litopenaei
Lineage: Bacteria; Pseudomonadati; Pseudomonadota; Gammaproteobacteria; Oceanospirillales; Halomonadaceae
Also listed under: 1 other name
Description: Halomonas sp. SYSU ZJ2214 partial 16S ribosomal RNA
Rfam family: Bacterial small subunit ribosomal RNA (bases 40-231)
Source: RNAcentral